This 332-nucleotide ribosomal RNA is filed under the name uncultured bacterium. Its description in RNAcentral is "bacterial SSU rRNA". It matches the Rfam family "Bacterial small subunit ribosomal RNA", at positions 568 to 898 of the family's 1533-position model. The record is from RNAcentral.
GGUGUAGGUGGUUUUUCAAGUCGGAUGUGAAAUUUCCCGGCUCAACUGGGAAGGGUCAUUCGAUACUGUUAGACUAGAGGGCAGCAGAGGGAGAUGGAAUUCCCGGUGUAGUGGUGAAAUGCGUAGAUAUCGGGAGGAACACCAGUGGCGAAAGCGGUCUCCUGGGCUGUUCCUGACACUGAGGCCCAAAAGCGUGGGGAGCAAACAGGAUUAGAUACCCUGGUAGUCCACGCCUUAAACGAUGGAUACUAGGUAUGGGGGGUAUCGACCCCCUCCGUGCCAAAGUUAACGCCUUAAGUAUCCCGCCUGGGGAGUACGGUCGCAAGGCUAAA